Molecule: microRNA precursor, 123 nt
Filed under: Octodon degus (degu)
Lineage: Eukaryota; Metazoa; Chordata; Mammalia; Rodentia; Octodontidae
Description: miRNA (ENSODEG00000021973.1)
Source: RNAcentral
UCACUGUGCAGCUCAGGCUGGCCUUGAGCUCACUUUGUAGACCGGGCUGGUCUUGAACUCACAACAAUCAUUCCUGCUUCAGCCACCCGAGUGCUGGCAUUACAGGCAUGCCCUACCAUGCCC